GGGGAAUUUUGCGCAAUGGGGGAAACCCUGACGCAGCAACGCCGCGUGGAGGAUGAAGUCCCUUGGGACGUAAACUCCUUUCGACCGGGACGAAUAAUGACGGUACCGGAAGAAGAAGCCCCGGCUAACUUCGUGCCAGCAGCCGCGGUAAUACAGAGGGGGCAAGCGUUGUUCGGAAUUACUGGGCGUAAAGGGCGCGUAGGCGGCCUUCUAAGUCGAACGUGAAAUCCCCGGGCUCAACCCGGGAACUGCGUCCGAUACUGGAAGGCUCGAAUCCGGGAGAGGGAUGUGGAAUUCCAGGUGUAGCGGUGAAAUGCGUAGAUAUCUGGAGGAACACCGGUGGCGAAGGCGACAUCCUGGACCGGUAUUGACGCUGAGGCGCGAAAGCCAGGGGAGCAAGC
Molecule: ribosomal RNA, 401 nt
Filed under: uncultured bacterium
Lineage: Bacteria
Description: bacterial SSU rRNA
Rfam family: Bacterial small subunit ribosomal RNA
Source: RNAcentral